AACGAACGCUGGCGGCAGGCUUAACACAUGCAAGUCGAACGCCCCGCAAGGGGAGUGGCAGACGGGUGAGUAACGCGUGGGAACGUGCCCUUCGGUUCGGAAUAACUCAGGGAAACUUGAGCUAAUACCGGAUACGUGCGAGAGCAGAAAGAUUUAUCGCCGAAGGAUCGGCCCGCGUCCGAUUAGCUAGUUGGUGAGGUAAUGGCUCACCAAGGCGACGAUCGGUAGCUGGUCUGAGAGGAUGAUCAGCCACAUUGGGACUGAGACACGGCCCAAACUCCUACGGGAGGCAGCAGUGGGGAAUAUUGGACAAUGGGCGCAAGCCUGAUCCAGCCAUGCCGCGUGAGUGAUGAAGGCCUUAGGGUUGUAAAGCUCUUUCGCCAGGGACGAUAAUGACGGUACCUGGAUAAGAAGCCCCGGCUAACUUCGUGCCAGCAGCCGCGGUAAUACGAAGGGGGCUAGCGUUGUUCGGAUUUACUGGGCGUAAAGCGCACGUAGGCGGAUUUUUAAGUCAGGGGUGAAAUCCCGAGGCUCAACCUCGGAACUGCCCUUGAUACUGGAAGUCUCGAGUCCGGGAGAGGUGAGUGGAACUGCGAGUGUAGAGGUGAAAUUCGUAGAUAUUCGCAAGAACACCAGUGGCGAAGGCGGCUCACUGGCCCGGUACUGACGCUGAGGUGCGAAAGCGUGGGGAGCAAACAGGAUUAGAUACCCUGGUAGUCCACGCCGUAAACGAUGGAUGCUAGCCGUUGGGGAGCUUGCUCUUCAGUGGCGCAGCUAACGCUUUAAGCAUCCCGCCUGGGGAGUACGGUCGCAAGAUUA
RNAcentral lists this ribosomal RNA (819 nucleotides) under uncultured bacterium. Its description in RNAcentral is "bacterial SSU rRNA". It matches the Rfam family "Bacterial small subunit ribosomal RNA", at positions 28 to 896 of the family's 1533-position model. The record is from RNAcentral.